CAGCCGCCGCGGUAAUACGUAGGGUGCGAGCGUUAAUCGGAAUUACUGGGCGUAAAGCGGGCGCAGACGGUUACUUAAGCAGGAUGUGAAAUCCCCGGGCUCAACCUGGGAACUGCGUUCUGAACUGGGUAACUAGAGUGUGUCAGAGGGAGGUAGAAUUCCACGUGUAGCAGUGAAAUGCGUAGAGAUGUGGAGGAAUACCGAUGGCGAAGGCAGCCUCCUGGGAUAACACUGACGUUCAUGCCCGAAAGCGUGGGUAGCAAACAGGAUUAGAUACCCCGGUAGUCCCUGUCUCUUAUAC
Molecule: ribosomal RNA, 301 nt
Filed under: uncultured bacterium
Lineage: Bacteria
Description: partial 16S ribosomal RNA
Rfam family: Bacterial small subunit ribosomal RNA
Source: RNAcentral